This 374-nucleotide ribosomal RNA is filed under the name uncultured organism. Its description in RNAcentral is "partial 16S ribosomal RNA". It matches the Rfam family "Bacterial small subunit ribosomal RNA", at positions 527 to 896 of the family's 1533-position model. The record is from RNAcentral.
GUAGGUGGCAAGCGUUGUCCGGAAUUAUUGGGCGUAAAGCGCGCGCAGGCGGUUCUUUAAGUCUGAUGUGAAAGCCCACGGCUCAACCGUGGAGGGUCAUUGGAAACUGGAGAACUUGAGUACAGAAGAGGAAAGCGGAAUUCCACGUGUAGCGGUGAAAUGCGUAGAGAUGUGGAGGAACACCAGUGGCGAAGGCGGCUUUCUGGUCUGUAACUGACGCUGAGGCGCGAAAGCGUGGGGAGCAAACAGGAUUAGAUACCCUGGUAGUCCACGCCGUAAACGAUGAGUGCUAAGUGUUAGGGGGGUUUCCGCCCCCCCCUAGUGCUGCAGCUAACGCAUUAAGCACUCCGCCUGGGAGUACGGCCGCAAGGCUG